UUCCUCCGAGGGCCAGAAACUGUCUCACAAUAAACACCUGCUUCUUAGCAAAACAGACAGUGGGCAUACGUGUGACGUACACAA
Molecule: small nucleolar RNA, 84 nt
Filed under: Pteropus vampyrus (large flying fox)
Lineage: Eukaryota; Metazoa; Chordata; Mammalia; Chiroptera; Pteropodidae
Description: Small nucleolar RNA SNORA41 (ENSPVAG00000029062.1)
Source: RNAcentral